RNAcentral lists this ribosomal RNA (378 nucleotides) under Strombidiidae sp. Its description in RNAcentral is "partial small subunit ribosomal RNA". It matches the Rfam family "Eukaryotic small subunit ribosomal RNA", at positions 582 to 975 of the family's 1831-position model. Lineage: Eukaryota; Ciliophora; Spirotrichea; Strombidiidae. The record is from RNAcentral.
AUUCCAGCUCCAAUAGCGUAUGUUAAAGUUGUUGCAGUUAAAAAGCUCGUAGUUGGAUUUCUGAUAGGGGGCCGAACACCACUGUAGUGAGUGUUUUGGUACCUGUCAUCCUUCUGUUAACCCUAGUGUCAUUCAUUUGUCGUUGGGCGGACCAGAUACUUUACCUUGAGAAAAUUAGAGUGUUUCAGGCAGGCCUAGCCGGAAUACAUUAGCAUGGAAUAAUGGAAUAGGACUAUAGUCUCGUCGUUGGUUACGUGGACUGCAGUAAUGAUUAAUAGGGAUAGUUGGGGGCAUUAGUAUUUGUUAGCUAGAGGUGGAAUUCUCUAAUUUGAUAAAGACUAACUUAUGCGAAAGCAUUUGCCAAGGAUGUUUUCAUUG